RNAcentral lists this ribosomal RNA (250 nucleotides) under uncultured prokaryote. RNAcentral's name for it is "partial 16S ribosomal RNA". It matches the Rfam family "Bacterial small subunit ribosomal RNA", at positions 524 to 773 of the family's 1533-position model. The record is from RNAcentral.
UACGUAGGUGGCAAGCGUUAUCCGGAUUUAUUGGGCGUAAAGGGAGUGCAGGCGGUUUCUUAAGUCUGAUGUGAAAGCCCACGGCUCAACCGUGGAGGGUCAUUGGAAACUGGGAGACUUGAGUACAGAAGAGGAAAGUGGAAUUCCAUGUGUAGCGGUGAAAUGCGUAGAUAUAUGGAGGAACACUAGUGACGAAGGCGACUUUCUGGUCUGAAACUGACGCUGAGGCUCGAAAGCGUGGGGAGCAAAC